RNAcentral lists this transfer RNA (68 nucleotides) under Crocidura leucodon (bicolored shrew). RNAcentral describes it as "tRNA-Thr". Lineage: Eukaryota; Metazoa; Chordata; Mammalia; Eulipotyphla; Soricidae. The record is from RNAcentral.
GCCUUAGUAGUACAAACAAUACCCUGGUCUUGUAAACCAGAAAUGGAGAAAUACAUCUCCCUAAGGCA